AAGUUGUAACAAGGUUUCCAUAGGUGAACCUGCGGAAGGAUCAUUAUUGAAUAUUCUCGAUGGGUUGUAGCUGGCUCCUCAGAGCAUGUGCACACCUGUCUUGACUUUAUUCAUCCACCUGUGCACCUAUUGUAGUCUCAUUCGAGAGUAGUCAGUCAGCAUGACUGGAUGUGAGGGAUGCAGCACAAAAGUGCAGCACCUCUCUGGCUCUCGGUGAACUAUGUCUUUAUUCAUAAACCAUGUAGUAUGUUGCAGAAUGUAUUCAAUGGGUCCUUGUGCCUAUAAAAAACUGUAUACAACUUUCAGCAAUAGAUCUCUUGGCUCUC
RNAcentral lists this unclassified non-coding RNA (326 nucleotides) under Conioexocarpus cretaceus. RNAcentral describes it as "Leucocoprinus cretaceus partial internal transcribed spacer region". The stretch from base 1 to 46 matches the Rfam family "Eukaryotic small subunit ribosomal RNA", at positions 1786 to 1831 of the family's 1831-position model. The record is from RNAcentral. Lineage: Eukaryota; Fungi; Basidiomycota; Agaricomycetes; Agaricales; Agaricaceae.